This is a long non-coding RNA of Cervus elaphus (red deer), 176 nucleotides long. RefSeq lists it as uncharacterized. The transcript has 3 exons. Lineage: Eukaryota; Metazoa; Chordata; Mammalia; Artiodactyla; Cervidae. The record is from RefSeq and is a predicted model, not a curated record.
GAGCCAAGAUGGCGGAGGAAUAGGACCGGGAGACCACUUUUCCCCCUACAAAUUCAUCCAAAGAACUAUUGAACGCUGAGCAAAUUUCACAAAACAACUUCUGAUCGCUAGCAGAGGACAUCAGGCGCCCAGAAAAGCAACCCAUUGUCUUCGAAAGGAGGACCGGAAAUAGCCAC